Molecule: unclassified non-coding RNA, 1247 nt
Filed under: Hevea brasiliensis (rubber tree)
Lineage: Eukaryota; Viridiplantae; Streptophyta; Magnoliopsida; Malpighiales; Euphorbiaceae
Source: RNAcentral
UGCUCGUUUGACUCUGCUCGACUUGUAAUGUUCUCAUUUUCAGAUUAUUGACUUACAUUCUGGUAUCUUUGGUCAUAUUAGGAAUAUAUUUCUUACCUUCCCUCCCACUUCUCAUGUUGAUGUUCCACUUUAAAUUAUUUGCUCAACAUUUCCACUCUACCAUCUCUCCAACUAUUUUCUUGAACUCUAUGGGCGCAAAAGAAUAACUGAAGUUAUCUGCUGAAUAGUUACUUAGGAAAAGGUAAAACAUUAAAAAGGUUCCAAAUUUAGGGAGUAGGACGUAGGUUGAUCUGAUUAGGCAAAUACAUACAAGUUGCAUUCAUCUGAUUGGGAAUAGAGUCUGUUAGUUCACUUGAUUCCAUACCCUUGUUUUUUAUUGCCUUUUCCUGAAUUAAUUUCAUGUUGGUCUAUGGCUAUGGGUUAUGUCCUCCUUUUCUUUGUUUUUAAUACAAGUUAUGGGCUUAUGGCUCAAAGGAAUUUUGUUAUAAAAGAGUGUUUAGUUCGAUAAAUGAACUUUUAUUAAAUGUUGAUAGGGAAUUGAUUGGACUCUUCCUAUCCACCUCCCUCUCUCUCUUGCUGAUACCAGUAAUUAAUGGCCACAUUUGUGAAAGCUGUAUGAGCAUUCUAGUACCAAGUUGUUUGACCACCUGCUGCAUUUUUUGGAUGAAUAGAACCAGAAAGAUUCUGGACUUUGUAUCAAUAACCCAGAGAUAAUGCUGACAUAUGUAGGGGGAUUAUAGACCAUAUAGUACUCUUACUACUGUUAUGCAAGAGAUAUGAGGAACAAUAAAUUUUUGCUUAGUUGGCUUCCUUGUUUUGUAGAAGGACCUCUUAAGAAUUUGUAUCACGAUAUGAUUGCCUUCUUUUUUGAGAUCACGAUCUCUUUUAGCAAUUGUCAAAACAAUUUCAAUGAUUGUUUAUUGCUUAAGCCAGAGUAUUAAAUUAAUUAGUGGCCAUUUCAUUAAUUGGAAAAUGUUUGAGGUUCACAAGUUCUCAUAGACACAUACGUACUUUCUCACAAAUUGUUGUCAAUACAUGCAUAGUGUAGUUAAUUAUGUGAGUGGUUUAAAAAUUAUUAUUUUUAGAUUUUUUUCCAUGAAUGAAUUCUAUAUUUAUCUGGUUCUUCCUUUAGUUCUUCCUCUUCAACAGAUAAUCACAUUUUACUUGCUGUUCUGAUGGUUUCUUUUUAUGUCCCUAAUGGACAGCUGCAUACAUUUCCAGAGGGAAAAGUUUUGCAAGAGGAUGCA